GCAUCGGGCAGAGGGAAAAGGAGCAAUCCGCUUUGAGAUGGCCUCGCGUCCGAUUAGCUAGUUGGUGAGGUAAUGGCCCACCAAGGCGACGAUCGGUAGCCGGACUGAGAGGUUGAACGGCCACAUUGGGACUGAGACACGGCCCAGACUCCUACGGGAGGCAGCAGUGGGGAAUAUUGCACAAUGGGGGAAACCCUGAUGCAGCGACGCCGCGUGGAGGAAGAAGGUCUUCGGAUUGUAAACUCCUGUUGUUGAGGAAGAUAAUGACGGUACUCAACAAGGAAGUGACGGCUAACUACGUGCCAGCAGCCGCGGUAAAACGUAGGUCACAAGCGUUGUCCGGAAUUACUGGGUGUAAAGGGAGCGCAGGCGGGAAGACAAGUUGGAAGUGAAAUCCAUGGGCUCAACCCAUGAACUGCUUUCAAAACUGUUUUUCUUGAGUAGUGCAGAGGUAGGCGGAAUUCCCGGUGUAGCGGUGGAAUGCGUAGAUAUCGGGAGGAACACCAGUGGCGAAGGCGGCCUACUGGGCACCAACUGACGCUGAGGCUCGAAAGUGUGGGUAGCAAACAGGAUUAGAUACCCUGGUAGUCCACACUGUAAACGAUGAUUACUAGGUGUUGGAGGAUUGACCCCUUCAGUGCCGCAGUUAACACAAUAAGUAAUCCACCUGGGGAGUACGACCGCAAGGUUGAAACUCAAAGGAAUUGACGGGGGCCCGCACAAGCAGUGGAGUAUGUGGUUUAAUUCGACGCAACGCGAAGAACCUUACCAAGUCUUGACAUCCUGCGACGCACAUAGAAAUAUGUGUUUCCUUCGGGACGCAGAGACAGGUGGUGCAUGGUUGUCGUCAGCUCGUGUCGUGAGAUGUUGGGUUAAGUCCCGCAACGAGCGCAACCCUUAUGGUCAGUUACUACGCAAGAGGACUCUGGCCAGACUGCCGUUGACAAAACGGAGGAAGGUGGGGAUGACGUCAAAUCAUCAUGCCCUUUAUGACUUGGGCUACACACGUACUACAAUGGCGUUAAACAAAGAGAAGCAAGACCGCGAGGUGGAGCAAAACUCAGAAACAACGUCCCAGUUCGGACUGCAGGCUGCAACUCGCCUGCACGAAGUCGGAAUUGCUAGUAAUCGCAGAUCAGCAUGCUGCGGUGAAUACGUUCCCGGGCCUUGUACACACCGCCCGUCACACCAUGAGAGCCGGGGGGACCCGAAGUCGGUAGUCUAACCGCAAGGAGGACGCCGCCGAAGGUAAAACUGGUGAUUGGGGUGAAGUCGUAACAAGGUAG
RNAcentral lists this ribosomal RNA (1286 nucleotides) under Faecalibacterium prausnitzii. RNAcentral's name for it is "bacterial SSU rRNA". It matches the Rfam family "Bacterial small subunit ribosomal RNA", at positions 188 to 1499 of the family's 1533-position model. Lineage: Bacteria; Bacillati; Bacillota; Clostridia; Eubacteriales; Oscillospiraceae. The record is from RNAcentral. RNAcentral also lists the same sequence under 1 other name.